This 2453-nucleotide long non-coding RNA is filed under the name Gossypium barbadense (sea-island cotton). RNAcentral describes it as "long non-coding RNA (GBAR_LNC005478)". Lineage: Eukaryota; Viridiplantae; Streptophyta; Magnoliopsida; Malvales; Malvaceae. The record is from RNAcentral.
CCUUUUCUUGGCUGAUCCCUUUCGCUGUAUGGCGUGCUCGUUUGGGUUGGGCAUCGGCUAAGAGUGCUCGGAGCGUAGAUUAACUCCAGUCUUCUAUCAGGUGUGUAUUUUCUCGCUACUCUAGCUGUAGGAUGGCUACUUCGGGCCGCGAUGGGCCGAAAAGGGUCAUGUGGGCCUACGGGCCUAAUUGGAUAAGUUGUUUGAUUGUCUAGUAAAUAUUGGACUAGACUAGGUGAAUCUCAUAUUCGAGGCUAGAUUUGGGCUAAAAGGGCCACAGGAGCGUGUGGGCCCAUUUGGGUCGAGAAUAGGAUUUAGGCCCAUUCGUAUUGUUAUCCCUGUUUAGAAUACUUUAGUUUACCAAAUUACUGAAAUGCCCUCAAUUUGUAAAAUUACCAAAGUUCCCUAGGUUUACAGAAUUACCAUUUUACCCUUAAUUUAUAGAAUUACCAUUUUACCCUCGAUUUAUAGAAUUACUGUUUUACCCUCGAUUUAUAGAAUUACCAUUUUACCCUCGAUUUAUAGAAUUGCCAUUUUACCCUCGAUUUACAAAAUUACCAUUUUACCCUCAGUUUACAAAAUUACCAUUUCACCCUCAGUUGUGAAAUUACUGAAAUACCCCUGUAGGAUAGAAUUACCGAAAUACCCUCAAUUUGAAAAUUAGCAAAAUACCCCUGAUUUACAGAAUUACAGAAAUACCCUUGACUUUCUAAAAAUUAUAAAAAUACCAUUGGCUUAUAAAAUUACUCAAAUACCCUUGGUUUGUAGAUUUACCAAAACACCAUUGUAGGAUGAAAUGACUAAAAUACCCCUAAUAGGUAAAACGACCGUAAAGCCCCUAUAGGGGAAAGUGACCGUAUUACCCUUGUAUGGUAAAAUGACGAAUAUGCCCUUAUGUUCCGUAUGAAUGAUGUGCUUAGGAUUUACAUAUAUUGAUAUUGGAUUAGUUAAGUUUGAGUGACAGGUGGUGGUUAUCGUAGGUGAUUGAUUAUGGAAACAUUUCAACUUCAACCCGUAACAGGUGCGUACUAACCAUCGUAAUAGCUUAGAUUAAUAUUUGCUGAGAAGUAGAAAUGCUAAAAUACCGGUAUUUUAAGAACUUGUAAUGUUGUGUUUGGGUAUAGAUGCGAUAAAUACGAUAAGAUCGGUGUUUGGAUCGAUGGAACAUGUAAGAACUCAAUUUUGUGCACGAUGGUAAGUUGGGCCUCAAUGGGCUGGAAUCGGGCCCAAUGGGCUUCGGGCUCGUUUGGGUAAAACUGAUAGAAAAUGGAAUCUGGAAAAGUUGCAUGUUAACACGGUUAGUACUGUUGUAAAAUUUAGAUUAUGUGGGCUUAAUAGGCUAAAUCGGCAUUUGUAGGGCCCAUUAGAGGUUUUGGGCCCAAAAGCCCGAGUUUGAUAAAGUGGGUUAAAGAUUAUUGUUUAAACACUCAGAAAUAUUGAUAAUUGUUGAUGAACAUGGAAACCCUGAUUUUUGGUAAAAUUACGAAAUACCCUUAUAAUAUGAAAAAUGACUGUUUUGCCCUUGUGGGCAAGUGAUUGACUUGGACUGUGUGGUUGACGGAUUUGAUUGUGAAUAUAUAUUGGUGAUAUGAAUGACUUGACUGUGAUUGUUUGAUUCAAAUAUGGUCAUGACAUUCUGCAUACAUGACAUAUUGCAUAGGAUAUGGGUUAUAUUGAUGGAGGAAGUGCUAAAAGGGCUCUGCCCCAGUUUACCGAAAAGGGCUCUGCCCCAGUUUAUCAGAAAGGGCUUUGCCCUAGUUAUUAAAAGAGGCUAGGCCUCCAGUUAUAUGAUAAAGCAGCUAUGCUGCCAGUGGAGAGUUUGGUUGGGUGGGUUGAGUUAUUCCCCACAUGGAGAGCUUGGUUGGUACGGGUGGAGAGUAGCGGAUGGUGGGUCGAGUAGUCUUCCCAAAUGGGCUCGCAUACAUUCAUUGACAUUACAUGUGAUAUUGAAAUGGGCUUGCAAACAUUCAUUGAUAUUACAUGUGAUAUUGAAAUGGGCUUGCAUACAUCCAUUGACAUUACAUGUGAUAUUGAAAUGGGCCUAAGGGCCAUACAGUUUAUAGUAAAGGCUUCGGCCCAGUGAUAUGAUUUAUGAAAAGGCUUCGGCCCAGUGAUAUGAUUUAUGGAAAGGCUUCGGCCUAGUAUAUGUCAACACUAAAUAGGGCUUUGGCCUAGAUUGUACUGAUACCGUGUUAUUUACUGUUUGUUUGUUAUUGGGGUUACACAUUGAGUUUUCGUAAACUCACCCCGUUUCUAACUGUACAGGUAAUCCCUAAGCUUAGAUGGUUUGGAGCUGCGAGGGACUCGGAGAUGGCCACACUACUGUUUCUGUUUCUUUUAAUUGCAAUAAGUAGCCGAUUUAUUUCUUCAUAAGUUUUAUCUUAUUAAUAUUAUUAUUUGGUUUUGGGUUGUAAUAAGGUCAUUUUAAUUAUUUUUCUGGGAUUAUUUUAUCUUAU